Molecule: ribosomal RNA, 391 nt
Filed under: uncultured bacterium
Lineage: Bacteria
Description: bacterial SSU rRNA
Rfam family: Bacterial small subunit ribosomal RNA
Source: RNAcentral
CCCAUAACUCAGGGAUAGCCUUUCGAAAGAAGAUUAAUACCUGAUAGUACUUUUCAAGGCAUCUUGAGAAAGUUAAAGAUUUAUUGGUUAUGGAUGGGGAUGCGUUCCAUUAGAUAGUUGGUGAGGUAACGGCUCACCAAGUCUUCGAUGGAUAGGGGUUCUGAGAGGAAGGUCCCCCACAUUGGUACCUGAGACACGGACCAAACUCCUACGGGAGGCAGCAGUGAGGAAUAUUGGUCAAUGGGCGAGAGCCUGAACCAGCCAAGUAGCGUGAAGGAUGAAAGGGUCCUAUGGAUUGUAAACUUCUUUUAUAGUAGAAUAAAGUGAUCCACGUGUGGAUUUUGUAUGUAUACUAUGAAUAAGGAUCGGCUAACUCCGUGCCAGCAGCAGC